This 253-nucleotide ribosomal RNA is filed under the name uncultured bacterium. Its description in RNAcentral is "partial 16S ribosomal RNA". It matches the Rfam family "Bacterial small subunit ribosomal RNA", at positions 524 to 776 of the family's 1533-position model. The record is from RNAcentral.
UACAGAGGUGGCAAGCGUUGUUCGGAAUUACUGGGCGUAAAGGGCGCGUAGGCGGCCUUCUAAGUCAGACGUGAAAUCCCCCGGCUUAACCUGGGAACUGCGUCUGAUACUGGGAGGCUUGAGUAUGGGAGAGGGAUGUAGAAUUCCAGGUGUAGCGGUGAAAUGCGUAGAUAUCUGGAGGAACACCGGUGGCGAAGGCGGGUCUCUGGGCCGUAACUGACGCUGAGGAGCGAAAGCGUGGGGAGCGAACAGG